UCGACAACCAAACCACUCCCCGGUCUUGACUGCUCAUGGAUAUGCAUGUCAGUGGUAAUUUCUGUCUGCGGUUCGGCGAUAAAGAGCUCUUGUCAGUCCAGGUGAAAACAUCGACAGAGGAAAUAAGGAUUUGUGUCUUUAAAUAAAUUUAGGUGAAUCGUAUUUAAAAGUGCAACCCUUUUAAAAAAAGAGGUUUAGAAUAGAAAAUGAGGCAGACUUACAUUACAGAAGAGGGGAGGGAAGAAUCGCUACCGGAACUCUGUGGAUUCCCACGAUGCACCGUUUCGACGGGGACGGAAGAAAAGGCAGAGUUGACUAUCUUGUCUAUGUAGAAGAUUUUUGACACAGGGUCGUGUUAUUUCCCCCCCCAAAACAGCGUCAGAUUAAAAAAUAAAUAAAAAAAACGGUAGGCCUAACAAUCCAUCGUAAAUUUUAAAAAAAAAGAGACAUUCCAAGUUUUUUUAUUUAAAUGUUUCUGCAGCGUGGACGAUAAAAAAAAAAAAAAAAAAAAAAAAAUGCAUUUUUAAUUGAAGUUAGUUGUUUGCGACGCACGGGUGUGACAGACCCUUUGUCAAAUGGACAAAUACGCUAAAAGGCACCUGGGAAAUCAGUCGAAAAUAAGAUGCACGUCUUCAUCCUGGAGCUGCCACGAGCUGCCUUAUUUGCUUGAGACAAACUGAAAGCAUUUUCUUACAGCCAACUGAAGUCCACAUAGCAACCAUUUCCAAAGUUUUACAAAGGCAAAGGGGUAUCACUAGACAAAGACAAGUGGGCAUUUAUAAAACAGCAGGAAACAGAUUCAAAGUUUUGCAAGUUAUUGGCUGUUGCAAUUUGGGGGUCACUUGCACUGAAAGACAGAAAUGUCACUGGAGGAAAAUGGAAUGCAAAAGACAAUAAAACCAGAAAGUUGAUGCUAUCAAAGGUAUGUGUUGAUAAAAAAAAAAAAAAAAAAAAAAAAAAGAAAAUCAGAUUUGCAAACAUUUCAUGUUUUCACCACAACAAAAUAGACGGUAGGGUUUAUACACGGUGUAUAUUAUGAAAUGGUAUUUUAAUGCAUUUUUUUCUUUUGAAUUUUUUUUAAUAACUUUUUUUCUAAAUCUUAAGGACUGAAUCAACUCUAACUUUAC
Molecule: long non-coding RNA, 1127 nt
Organism: Polyodon spathula (Mississippi paddlefish)
Lineage: Eukaryota; Metazoa; Chordata; Actinopteri; Acipenseriformes; Polyodontidae
Exons: 3
Source: RefSeq, a predicted model, not a curated record